RNAcentral lists this ribosomal RNA (318 nucleotides) under Triticum aestivum (bread wheat). Its description in RNAcentral is "partial small subunit ribosomal RNA". Lineage: Eukaryota; Viridiplantae; Streptophyta; Magnoliopsida; Poales; Poaceae. The record is from RNAcentral.
AUGGCGUCUAGAGGUGAGAGCCAGACGGAGCGCUGCACCAGGCUCGCAGCCCAGCACUACAGCGAAAAUCAUGGUGUUGAUCUCACGGAUCUGGACCCGGUGGACAGCCACGCCUUCUCCUGCCGGUGGGUGGACGCCGGCGACAACCGGCUCUGCUUCCAUGUCAACUUCAGGGCCGUCGCGGGGUCCCACGGGACACGACUCUUCUUCGCCGAGGUCCUCGGCGACGGCCCCCCAAAGUCGGUGCAGCACUGUGUCAUGCUAGGAGGACCAUCCACUUGGUCAACAAACAAUUGCACCUUUUGCUCCGGUAUCUGA